UUGUCACGAAGUCGUUAGCUCAUGUUUGACUUGUACAGUCAGACCUCAGUAGUAGAAUUAUUUUAUUUUAUAAUUAAUUGUUAUUUUCUUUAGCUAUAUUACCACCAGGGUAUUAUUGUAUUUAUAUUCUCUGAUCACUUUCUCUUCUUCUCUCCCGACCCUCUCCACAUACCCUUCUCCAUAUUUUAUACUCUUUAACAGUCAACAAUAAUUCACACGAAUGGCAAAUUAAGCAGCAUUUGGUAUUUCAAAUUGAUUUAGAGAAAUCAUUGAAGUCCGGACGUCUUUAUAGGUUGGAAAGGACACCACGGAAGUAAUCAUAUUUAUCUCAAUAAUUUAGAGGAAUUGCAAGGUAGGUUUCCGGAUUUCAAUUUGAUUUAGCGAUCUUUGGAAUCAGGGGUGUUUAUCUAUAAAUUUGUGUCCUCUGAAAAGUCCUGCGUCUGUAGACUGUACUUUCUCUCUCCUUCCUUAAGCACAAGUUGUCACUAUUGAUGCAUACAAAGCUAAAGUUCUCCAUUCCGGACACGGCCGGUUAUCUUGAUGUCAGCUUCUCUUCCCUGAAAAAGUAGUCACAUCGGACAAAAACUCGGUCUUCUUUCCCCCAAUCAAAGACUAAUAUUUUCCUUGUUCCUUUUCCUUGAAACCAACCGGUAUUCCAUGAAGAACACUGCAAACAAUCGAAUUUCCAAGGUGGGUUUCGCUUGGAAGGUGAGAAAAUUGCUUUCUCUGCUGAGAAACUUGACGAUUGGGGAGGGGAAGAAACAGAAGCAACCACCACCACUGCCCAUCCUCCCCAACGACAUCAUCUAUGAAAUUCUCUUGCUACUACCCAAUAAGUCUCUAGCUCGAUUCAGGUGUGUUUGCAGAGAAUGGAACAACUUACUAACCAGUUCGAACUUCCUCUACAAGUGCUUGCACUAUUGUCCCUGUAGAAGAACAAGGCACAUUUGCAGAGAAUGGAAGAACUUACUAACCAGUUCCAACAGCUCAAUGUGUUGUCGCUAUUGUCGACUUCCCAUGCGGUGUUAUUGUCGCAAUUGUCGAGUUCCCAUGCAAAGACCAUGUUUAUAUUACGGGGAAUGCCCAUCCUAUCCAAUUCGAGAAUUGAGAGAACGAAAGAGGUUCUUUCCCUCUGGUAGAGCAGCAAGAGAUUAUGCCUUUGGAUACUUUCAGGAUGAAGAAGCGGACAGUGAAUGAAGAAGCCAGCAGGGAAAUCUAAGCAGGACCCUACACGUUUUUCCUCCACAGCUUGAAAGUAAUGUCCAACUGAUUUUGCCUAUCCCUAUUAUGAAAUGAAAACGAGAACUAACAUUCACAAAAAGUAAUUGAACAUGUCUAUUUCCACUUUUGUUUUUCUUAAGUCAUAGUUAGUCUCUACAUUAAAGCAAUCUAACAUUAAGUACACUCUACUUGAUGUGAAAUUAAACUCUUUUUCAAAUUGGAAAUGUGAAUUGGAAAUGUGCUUUUAUUUGAUAUCAAUGUGUUUUUGCCUAGCCUAUUAUGAAUUGGAAAUGUGUACUAUUAUUAUUGGCAAUUGCUUCAUUUCCGGAUUUUUUUUUUCUU
This is an RNA transcript of Cornus florida, 1563 nucleotides long. It is a transcript of the gene named F-box protein At5g62510-like, with no coding region annotated. The record is from RefSeq and is a predicted model, not a curated record. Lineage: Eukaryota; Viridiplantae; Streptophyta; Magnoliopsida; Cornales; Cornaceae. The transcript is spliced from 5 exons.